GCCCUUGGCUUAAUCUCCGAAAGAGCCUAUAUUGAAGGGGUCGGGCAACCGACUAUGACGAUAAACGCUUAGUGGAAUAAGCGUUGCGGACCCGGGGGCGGUACCCGGCGCCUCCACCAUAAGCCCAUCUGGCGGUGAAUUGGGUGGGCUUGUGAUGGGGGCGAAAUAGGAUCGACGCGCGUAGUAAAGACUUUUGCUUUCGUCCGGCAUGGUACCCACCGUUAUCGGGCCACUUUGAGAAAUGCCAACGAUAAUGAGGCAUUUGCUGUUGCCGCUUAAUAGGCUGUAACAACGGGGUUCGGGAGGCACCUGGCAACAGAAGCCUCCCACU
RNAcentral lists this transfer-messenger RNA (331 nucleotides) under Magnetospira sp. QH-2. Its description in RNAcentral is "Alphaproteobacteria transfer-messenger RNA". It matches the Rfam family "Alphaproteobacteria transfer-messenger RNA". From Rfam's summary of the family: Bacterial tmRNA, also known as 10Sa RNA or SsrA, is named for its dual tRNA and mRNA-like properties. Its role is to liberate the mRNA from a stalled ribosome. Lineage: Bacteria; Pseudomonadati; Pseudomonadota; Alphaproteobacteria; Rhodospirillales; Thalassospiraceae. The record is from Rfam by way of RNAcentral.